AUAAGCAAAUAAGAGUAGAUGGUGGAUGCCUUGGCUCUGAGAGACUAUGAAGGACGUUUGACUGCGAUAAGUUGCGAAUAAUAAAAUAAAUUUAUAAGUUGGUUGCUAAAUUGAGAAGUUGCGAAUAAUAAAAGAAAUUGAGAAGUUGCGAAUAAUAAAAGAAAUUGUUGCGAAUAAUAAAAGAAAUUGUUGCGAAUAAUAAAAGAAAUUGAGAAGUUGCGAAUAAUAAAAGAAAUUGAGAAGUUGCGUUGCGAAUAAUAAAAGAAAUUGAGAAGUUGCGUUGCGAAUAAUAAAAGAAAUUGAGAAGUUGCGUUGCGAAUAAUAAAUUUAUUGAUUUGCGAAUUUCCGAAUAGGGGAACUUGCUGAAUAUUUAGAUUCAGUUUCAUUAAUAUGAAGGUAACCUGUAGAACUGAAACAUCUAAGUAACCAGAGGAAAAAAAAACAAAAGUGAUUCUGUUAGUAGCGGCGAGCGAAAACAGAAUAGCCCAAACUAUUAGUAAAGUAAUAGUGUUGUAGGACUAAUAGAUUGAUUAUUUUAUUAUAAAAUAGAAUAUUUUGGAAAAAAUAUCCAUAGAAGGUGAUAGUCCUGUCUAUUAAUUAAAAUAGAUAACAUAUUAGUAUCCUGAGUAAAACGGAACACGUGAAAUUCUGUUUGAAUCUGCCGGGACCAUCUGGCAAGGCUAAAUACUUCUCAGAGACCGAUAGUGAACUAGUACCGUGAGGGAAAGGUGAAAAGAACUUCUAAUAGAAGAGUGAAAUAGAUCCUGAAACCAUACACUUACAAGCAGUCGGAGCUUAAAAAAGUAACGACGUGCCUUUUGCAUAAUGAACCUACGAGUUAAUUUUAUUGGCAAGGUUAAAUAAUGAAGUUAUGUAGCCGUAGCGAAAGCGAGUAUUAAAUAUGCGAUAGUCGGUAUAAUUAGACGCGAACCCGGGUGAUCUACCUAUGGGCAGGUUGAAGCUAUGGUAACACAUAGUGGAGGACCGAACUGGUAAACGUUGAAAAGUUUUCGGAUGACCUGUGGGUAGGAGUGAAAGGCUAAUCAAACUCGGAGAUAGCUCGUACUCCCCGAAAUGCAUUUAGGUGCAGCAUUGUGUUAAAAUAUUAUAGAGGUAGAGCUACUGAUUGGAUGAGGGGACUUCAUCGUCUACCAAUUCUUGACAAACUCCGAAUGCUGUAAUAUGUUUCACAGUAGUGAGGGCAUGGGUGCUAAGAUCCAUAUCCGAGAGGGGAACAACCCAGACCAACAGCUAAGGCCCCAAAGUAUAUACUAAGUUGAAUAAACGGAGUUCAUUGACGUAGAUAGCUAGGAUGUUAGCUUGGAAGCAGCUAUUCAUUUAAAGAGUGCGUAACAGCUCACUAGUUUAGUUAUUGAGCAUGGAUAAUAAUCGGGCAUAAGUAUAUAGCCGAAGCUAUGGGAUAAAAUCGGUAGGGGAGCAUUGUAAGAACAUAGAAGUUAUAUUGCUAAAUAUAGUGGAGUUAUUACAAAAGAAAAUGUAGGUAUAAGUAACGAUAAUGCAGGUGAGAAACCUGCACACCGAAAGACUAAGGUUUCCUCAGCUAUGUUAAUCAACUGAGGGUUAUUCGGACCCUAAUGUGAAACCGAAAGGUGUAAUUGAUGGAUUACUAUUUAAUAGUAUAGUAUAUAUUUAAUAUUUUUUGUGAUGAGGUGACGAAGUAGUGAAACUGUCGCGUUUUUAUGGAAUAGAACGUUAAAUUUGUUAGGUGUAAUAUAGGUAAAUCUGUAUUAUUAAACUGACCUUAAAUAUGGGACCAUAACUUUAAAAUAAGUAAAAUGGAUAGAACAACUAAUAACUUCCAAGAAAAACCUCUAAACAAUUUAAAAAAAAAGAUGUUAAAUAUUCCGUACCAAAACCGACACAGGUAGUUGGGGUGAAUAUCCUAAGGUGCUCGAGUGAAUCACGGCUAAGGAACUAGGCAAAAUAGACCUGUAACUUAGGGAAAAAGGUUGCCCUAAUUUUUAGGGCCGCAGUAAAAAGGUCCAGGCGACUGUUUAUCAAAAACACAGGACUCUGCUAAAUUGAAAGAUGAUGUAUAGGGUCUGACACCUGCCCGGUGCUGGAAGGUUAAUGAAGGAGGUUAACAUAUUUGUAAAGCCUUUGACUGAAGCCUCAGUAAACGGCGGCCGUAACUAUAACGGUCCUAAGGUAGCGAAAUUCCUUGUCGGGUAAGUUCCGACCUGCACGAAUGGUGUAACGAUCUGGACACUGUCUCGGCCGUGAGCUCGGUGAAAUUGUAGUAUCGGUGAAGAUGCCGAUUACUCGCAAUGGGACGAAAAGACCCUGUGAACCUUUACUAUAGCUUCGUAUUGAUUUUGAGUAAAUAAUGUGUAGUAUAGGUGGGAGACUUUGAAACAUUAUCGCUAGGUAGUGUGGAGUCAAUAUUGAAAUACCACCCUUUAUUUAAUUGGGGUCUAACUUAGUAAAUAUAAGGACAUUGCGUGGUGGGUAGUUUGACUGGGGUGGUCGCCUCCAAAAAAGUAACGGAGGCUUCCAAAGGUGCCCUAAACACGUUUGGUAAUCGUGUAUAGAGUAUAAUGGCAUAAGGGCGCUUGACUGUAAGACUUACAAGUCGAACAGGUACGAAAGUAGGGCAUAGUGAUCCGGUGGUUCUGUAUGGGAAGGCCAUCGCUCAAAGGAUAAAAGGUACUCCGGGGAUAACAGGCUAGUCUCCCCCAAGAGCUCACAUCGACGGGGAGGUUCGGCACCUCGAUGUCGGCUCGUCACAUCCUGGGGCUGAAGAAGGUCCCAAGGGUUGGGCUGUUCGCCCAUUAAAGUGGCACGCGAGCUGGGUUCAGAACGUCGUGAGACAGUUCGGUCUCUAUCUAUUGCGAGCGUUAGAAGCUUGAGUGGAUCUAACUCUAGUACGAGAGGACCGGGUUGGACGAACCUCUGGUAUAUCAGUUGUAUCGCCAGGUGCAAUGCUGAGUAGCUAUGUUCGGAUAAGAUAAGCACUGAAAGCAUAUAAGUGCGAAACUAACCACAAGAUUAGGCUUCUUUUAAGGGUCGUUGAAGAUGACAACGUUGAUAGGCUAUAAGUGUAAAGAUAGUAAUAUCAUAGCUGAGUAGUACUAAUUACCCGUAAGCUUAUAUUA
Molecule: ribosomal RNA, 3116 nt
Filed under: Candidatus Karelsulcia muelleri DMIN
Lineage: Bacteria; Pseudomonadati; Bacteroidota; Flavobacteriia; Flavobacteriales
Description: bacterial LSU rRNA
Rfam family: Bacterial large subunit ribosomal RNA
Source: RNAcentral